RNAcentral lists this long non-coding RNA (529 nucleotides) under Ananas comosus (pineapple). Its description in RNAcentral is "long non-coding RNA (ACOM_LNC044268)". The record is from RNAcentral. Lineage: Eukaryota; Viridiplantae; Streptophyta; Magnoliopsida; Poales; Bromeliaceae.
ACCCACGUCCUCUUAAUUAAUUAAUUCUUAAUUAAUUCAUUCAUUAGGAUCCCUCUCUCUCUCUUUUAUGUACAAUUAAUCCUGAGUGAGAUAUUAUUAUUAUUAUUACCUUUAUUAUUAUUAUAUAUUAUUAUUAUUAUUAUUAUAUGUACCGCGAGUAAUAUAUAAUAAUAAUAAUAAUGAUAGAUCUAUAUAUAUCUUGUGUAGGUGUAUAAAGAAUUGGGCUGGAAUGCUAUUGAUAGCAAAAGAUGCUUUUUGCUAUCAAGUUUUUAACCCUUAGAUGAGAAAUUGUAGAGUUAGGAUGAUAUUAGUUAGUUAGGGUUGAGUGGUCCCCCUAGGGUUGAGUGGUCCCCACUGGGUUAUAAUAUUUAAUCCAAUGGUUAGAAAUGAUGAAAGAAGUUGAUCCAAAGGCUAAAAACUUGGUAGCAAAAAAAGCCUUUUGCUACUAAUAGUAUUCUAGCCCAACUCGGUGUAUAAAUAUCUUGUCGAACUUGUUCAAAUAUUAAAGUGAUUAAUUUCUGAAGUAAAU